UACGGGGGGGGCAAGCGUUGUUCGGAAUUACUGGGCGUAAAGGGCUCGUAGGCGGCCAACUAAGUCGGAUGUGAAAUCCCCAGGCUUAACCUGGGAACUGCAUCCGAUACUGGAUGGCUUGAAUCCGGGAGAGGGAUGCAGAAUUCCAGGUGUAGCGGUGAAAUGCGUAGAUAUCUGGAGGAAUACCGGUGGCGAAAGCGGCUCACUGGAUCGAAACUGACGCUGAGGUGCGAAAGCUAGGGUAGCAAACGGG
This 253-nucleotide ribosomal RNA is filed under the name uncultured bacterium. RNAcentral's name for it is "partial 16S ribosomal RNA". It matches the Rfam family "Bacterial small subunit ribosomal RNA", at positions 524 to 776 of the family's 1533-position model. The record is from RNAcentral.